GUCUCUUCAGUUAUACAAGAAUGGACCUGCGGUUCUCAGGAUGCAACCUGGAACCGAAGCCCGACAUGAAAGCAGCUGCAGAAGGAGGAGCCGCCAGCUCUGAGAUCAAACCCAGGGCCAGAUUUGGCUUGGAGGAUUUGUUUCCCAUAUGCCUCCCCCUGUCUUCUGCACCUCCCAUGCCAGCCUGGCUCAGGGUCAAGCAGCCUGAUCCGCAACAACCCCGCCGUGGAGACGAUCCAAAGGCUCAUCACGGAUGGAGUGACUGUGGCCAAACAAAGGAAUACCACUCAGCAGCAAAAAGGAAUGGAUUACUAAUACAUACAAUAACAUGAAUCCGACUCCAAAAGCGUUAGGAUGGGUGAGUGCUGGAAGCCAGAUGAGGCCACUUAUAAGAAAUCCUGGACCAGGCAAACCAGUGACAGAAAACAGAUCAAAGAACGAGGGGCCUGGGGUGCAGUGGUGAGGGGAAGAACCAGAGCGCUUUUGUUUUUUUAAGAGUGAAGGAAACGUUCCAGAUCUUAAUUCUCGUGGGGGUUCCACAGGUGAAUACAUUUGUCAAGAACUCAUUGGGGCGCCUGUGUAGCUCAGUCGGUUAAGCAGCUGACUUUGGCUCAA
Suricata suricatta (meerkat) is the source of this 615-nucleotide long non-coding RNA. RefSeq lists it as uncharacterized. The transcript is spliced from 3 exons. NCBI's taxonomy places the organism in Eukaryota, Metazoa, Chordata, Mammalia, Carnivora, Herpestidae. The record is from RefSeq and is a predicted model, not a curated record.